GCCGGGCAUGGUGGCUCAUGCCUGUAAUCCCAGCUACUCAGGAGGCUGAGGUAGGAGACUCGCUUGAACCCAGGAAGCAGAAGUUGCAGUGAGCCGAGAUUGCACCACUGCACUCCAGCCUGGGCAACAGAGCGAGACUCUGUCUCAA
Molecule: unclassified non-coding RNA, 148 nt
Organism: Callithrix jacchus (white-tufted-ear marmoset)
Lineage: Eukaryota; Metazoa; Chordata; Mammalia; Primates; Cebidae
Rfam family: Metazoan signal recognition particle RNA
About the family: The signal recognition particle (SRP) is a universally conserved ribonucleoprotein. It is involved in the co-translational targeting of proteins to membranes.
Source: Ensembl